GCCAGUUUCGGUGGAGCCGUCCUUGAAAUACCACCCUGGUUUGUUUGAGGUUCUAACCUUGGCCCGUGAUCCGGGUCGGGGACAGUGCAUGGUAGGCAGUUUGACUGGGGCGGUCUCCUCCCAAAGCGUAACGGAGGAGUACGAAGGUACGCUAGGUACGGUCGGAAAUCGUGCUGAUAGUGCAAUGGCAUAAGCGUGCUUAACUGCGAGACCGACAAGUCGAGCAGGUGCGAAAGCAGGUCAUAGUGAUCCGGUGGUUCUGUAUGGAAGGGCCAUCGCUCAACGGAUAAAAGGUACUCUGGGGAUAACAGGCUGAUACCGCCCAAGAGUUCAUAUCGACGGCGGUGUUUGGCACCUCGAUGUCGGCUCAUCUCAUCCUGGGGCUGUAGCCGGUCCCAAGGGUAUGGCUGUUCGCCAUUUAAAGAGGUACGUGAGCUGGGUUUAAAACGUCGUGAGACAGUUUGGUCCCUAUCUGCCGUGGGCGUUGGAUAUUUGAAGGGGGCUGCUCCUAGUACGAGAGGACCGGAGUGGACGAACCUCUGGUGUACCGGUUGUGACGCCAGUCGCAUCGCCGGGUAGCUAUGUUCGGAAGAGAUAACCGCUGAAAGCAUCUAAGCGGGAAACUCGCCUUAAGAUGAGAUAUCCCUGGAGGCUUGACCUCCUUGAAGGGUCGUUCGAGACCAGGACGUUGAUAGGUCGGGUGUGUAAGCGCAGUAAUGCGUUCAGCUAACCGAUACUAAUUGCCCGUAAGGCUUGAUCCUAUAACA
RNAcentral lists this ribosomal RNA (767 nucleotides) under Burkholderia ubonensis. RNAcentral describes it as "bacterial LSU rRNA". It matches the Rfam family "Bacterial large subunit ribosomal RNA", at positions 2170 to 2925 of the family's 2925-position model. The record is from RNAcentral. Lineage: Bacteria; Pseudomonadati; Pseudomonadota; Betaproteobacteria; Burkholderiales; Burkholderiaceae.